RNAcentral lists this ribosomal RNA (301 nucleotides) under uncultured bacterium. Its description in RNAcentral is "partial 16S ribosomal RNA". It matches the Rfam family "Bacterial small subunit ribosomal RNA", at positions 509 to 809 of the family's 1533-position model. The record is from RNAcentral.
CAGCAGCCACGGGAAUACGUAGGGUGCAAGCGUUAAUCGGAAUUACUGGGCGUAAAGCGUGCGCAGGCGGUUUGUUAAGACAGAUGUGAAAUCCCCGGGCUCAACCUGGGAACUGCAUUUGUGACUGGCAGGCUAGAGUAUGGCAGAGGGGGGUGGAAUUCCGCGUGUAGCAGUGAAAUGCGUAGAUAUGCGGAGGAACACCGAUGGCGAAGGCAGCCCCCUGGGCCAAUACUGACGCUCAUGCACGAAAGCUAGGGGAGCAAACAGGAUUAGAUACCCCUGUAGUCCCUGUCUCUUAUAA